Molecule: ribosomal RNA, 119 nt
Filed under: Takifugu rubripes (torafugu)
Lineage: Eukaryota; Metazoa; Chordata; Actinopteri; Tetraodontiformes; Tetraodontidae
Also listed under: 1 other name
Source: RNAcentral
GCUUACGGCCAUACCACCCUGAGAACGCCCGAUCUCGUCCGAUCUCGGAAGCUAAGCAGGGUCGGGCCUGGUUAGUACUUGGAUGGGAGACCGCCUGGGAAUACCAGGUGCUGUAGCUU